UUGCAUAUCAAUAAGCGGAGGAAAAGAAACUAACAAGGAUUCCCCCAGUAACGGCGAGUGAAGCGGGAAGAGCUCAAUGUUAAAAUCUCCGAGGGGAAUUUCGGUGAAUUGUAGUUUAGAGAAGUGUUUUCUGGGGUGGGCACCGAUGUAAGUUUCCUUGGAAAACGGCGCCAUUGAGGGUGAGAGCCCUGUUUGCGGUUGCCUGCUGCACUCCUAUACG
This 220-nucleotide ribosomal RNA is filed under the name uncultured fungus. RNAcentral describes it as "partial 26S ribosomal RNA". It matches the Rfam family "Eukaryotic large subunit ribosomal RNA", at positions 36 to 248 of the family's 3401-position model. The record is from RNAcentral. Lineage: Eukaryota; Fungi.